GACGAACGCUGGCGGCGUGCUUAACACAUGCAAGUCGAACGAUGAUCAGGAGCUCGCUCCUGUGAUUAGUGGCGAACGGGUGAGUAACACGUGAGUAACCUGCCCCUGACUCUGGGAUAAGCGUUGGAAACGACGUCUAAUACUGGAUACGACUGCCGGCCGCAUGGUCUGGUGGUGGAAAGAUUUUUUGGUUGGGGAUGGACUCGCGGCCUAUCAGCUUGUUGGUGAGGUAAUGGCUCACCAAGGCGACGACGGGUAGCCGGCCUGAGAGGGUGACCGGCCACACUGGGACUGAGACACGGCCCAGACUCCUACGGGAGGCAGCAGUGGGGAAUAUUGCACAAUGGGCGAAAGCCUGAUGCAGCAACGCCGCGUGAGGGAUGACGGCCUUCGGGUUGUAAACCUCUUUUAGUAGGGAAGAAGCGAAAGUGACGGUACCUGCAGAAAAAGCACCGGCUAACUACGUGCCAGCCGCCGCAGUAA
This 483-nucleotide ribosomal RNA is filed under the name uncultured bacterium. RNAcentral's name for it is "partial 16S ribosomal RNA". It matches the Rfam family "Bacterial small subunit ribosomal RNA", at positions 28 to 523 of the family's 1533-position model. The record is from RNAcentral.